Molecule: non-coding RNA, 148 nt
Filed under: Chlorocebus sabaeus (green monkey)
Lineage: Eukaryota; Metazoa; Chordata; Mammalia; Primates; Cercopithecidae
Source: Rfam by way of RNAcentral
GCUGGGCGUGGUGGCGCAUGCCUGUAAUCCUAGCCACUUAGGAAGCUGAGGCAGGAGAAUUGCUUGAACCCAGGAGGUGGAGGCUGCAGUGAGCCGAGAUCGCGUCACUGCAUUCUAGUCUGGGUGACAGAGCAAGACUCACUCUCUC